ACAAGGUUAAAUGGACAAGGCUGAAUGGCCCUGUGAUGGGGAGUGCCUUUAAGCCACAUGACGGAAAUGAAACAGGAGCCAUAAUGACCAUGACUGGAGGAGAAUCAGAUUCUGGCCUGGCCUGGUUCUGUGAGAUACCUUAAAUCAUACUUUCUGUAGCAUCCCUUAAAGGUGGGUAGAGAGAAGGAGAGAGUUAAGUGUGGGUGCAGUCAUCCUCAGGAUGGUUGAUCUCUAAAUCUAUUCUUGGGCAAAAGUUUAGAGAAAAGCUGAAUCACUCAGCCCAGAGGAAGCCUGAGGAGGCAUAAAGAAGUCUUGGAAAUCCCCUGAAAAAAAGAAUCAGAUAUCACCUCCAUAGGAAGCUGUCUCUCUGCUUUAGAGCAAGAAUCAACAAACUUUUUCUGUAAAGAGCCAGAUACUGUAGGCUAACCCAAGAAGAAUAAAGCAUCGGCUUCCCUGACAUGCUGCUCCCCCCAAAACAGAGUGCCAAUAUGAUUCCAAGGUUCUUAGCACACUGUAUAUUACCUCACUCCUCCUACAGCUGGAGCCUCUUUGUACCUGGUCCUAUUUUCCUCCUUCUCCAGAGACAACUGUGCUCAUGAUUUUGUGGUCUGGAACUGAACUUGCAAUUUCUCCAAGAUAUGUCGGUAUCUCUCUCCAUGCUGUGCUGCGUGGGCUUUGGGAGCGGUGAUGUGGACCAUUUGAAAUUGUCCUUGCUACCUCUUUAAUGCAUAUUUUUAUAUUUCUAUGCUCCACCCAAGUGCUGUAGUCUCUCAACUGCCUUCUUUUUGUUCUUCAGCUUUUAUGAAGCUAUUUUCAAGUGUGAGUAGUUGUCCAAAUUCAUGUUUCUUGAGGGAACAAGUGACUUGUUUGUAAGUUGACUUGUAUAUCUUUUUAUAGCUGAGAUUUUAUCCUGUGAUCUUACUAACUCAGGAAUUUUUUGGAGAUUCUUUGCAGUUUUCUAAGUAGAAUAACCAUAUUAUAUUUAUUAUUAUUUUCCUUCUUACUUUGGUUUUAAUUUGCUCUUUUUUUACAUGUUUUCUGAGUUAGAAACUUAGGUUAUUGAUUUGAUACCCUUAUUCCUUUAUAACAUAUGCAUUUGAUUGUGUAAGUUUUUCUCUAAGCACUGCUUUAGUGCAUCCCACAAAUUUUGAUCUGUUGUAUAUUUUUUAUUUACUUUAAUAUAUCUUCU
RNAcentral lists this long non-coding RNA (1189 nucleotides) under Homo sapiens (human). Its description in RNAcentral is "HSALNT0351293". Lineage: Eukaryota; Metazoa; Chordata; Mammalia; Primates; Hominidae. The record is from RNAcentral.